UAAAUGCAAAAGUUAUAUUUCAUAUGUGUCAAUACAAACAACACUAAUAGAGAAUUCUAAGGAAGAUCGUGAAGAGAAAGGAUGGGCAGGCAUUACUAAAUUGGUUGGUUUCCUCUUCUGAUCACUGAAAAAGGUAGCGAGAAGUUGAUUUUCACACUUUCAAAGGUUCAAGUGACUUAUCUGAAGCAAAAGAGUUGAUUUGACAAGUAAUAUUUGCCACACACACACACAAAAAAAACUCUUUAUAUGGUAACAAUUGUAAAGUUUGGUUUAUUCCCCACCCCAUGAACAUUCUCUUUUGUUAGAAGUUUUAAUCUAAAAUCAGCCAAAUUUUUUUCUGUUAAUGUCAACAAAUGCUUCAGCACAUCGUUCGAAUGAAUUCAUUUCCUGUUAUGUUUCACAGGCGGAUCAAGGAUGGACUGAGAUGGUCUCGUAUUGACAUUCCACAUUUGGCGUUCCUGCUCUGUGCUUAAAAAGAGUGAAGUUCUAUAUUUCCACUCCACAUCCAUGAAAACAGUAAACUCUAGCUAUCAUUCAAUAGAAGAGCUGUGUUGAAUAUGACCUUCCUAAUCAGCUGAUGGAAUUCCUAUCAUAAUGCCUUGAAUCUAUUUUUAAAAAUAAAAUCAGUUGAUAAGGACAAUGUUCUGCUUCACUGUGUACUUGGAAGCUAACAUGAAACAGGGGCAAAUCUAGAGAAAAGUCCCACUCCACAAUUCCUCAAUUCUUCACACACUUGUAAAGGCAUUAUCUCAAUCACAGCUGUCCUCUGAGGUCUAUGCCCAAGAGACCCCAGAAAUCUUCCAGGGAAGAGAAGAAAUGCAGGCCUACCCUCUUCUUGCCCAUUCAACAGUGGACAUCAAUUGAAUGUUCUCAGACCUCUUCCUCAUCUUCUGAACACCCAAACACAGUCCUUAAAUUGGUAAGGGUAAGACAUAUGCAUAUCUGC
RNAcentral lists this long non-coding RNA (946 nucleotides) under Marmota monax (woodchuck). The record is from RNAcentral. Lineage: Eukaryota; Metazoa; Chordata; Mammalia; Rodentia; Sciuridae.